Molecule: ribosomal RNA, 500 nt
Filed under: uncultured Glomeromycotina
Lineage: Eukaryota; Fungi; Glomeromycota
Description: partial small subunit ribosomal RNA
Rfam family: Eukaryotic small subunit ribosomal RNA
Source: RNAcentral
CCAAUAGCGUAUACUAAAGUUGUUGCAGUUAAAAAGCUCGUAGUUGAAUUUCGGGAUCAAUUAGUCGGUCGUGCCUCUGGUACGUACUGGUUUUAUUGGUUCCUCCCUUCUGACGAAACAUGAUGUCAUUAAUUUGGUGUCGUGGAGAAUCAGGACUGUUACCUUGAAAAAAUUAAAGUGUUUAUAGCAGGCUAACGCUUGAAUACAUUAGCAUGGAAUAAUGAAAUAGGACGUUCGACCCUAUUUUGUAGGUUUCUAGGAUCGACGUAAUGAUUAAUAGGGAUAGUUGGGGGCAUUAGUAUUCAAUUGUCAGAGGUGAAAUUCUUGGAUUUAUUGAAGACUAACUACUGCGAAAGCAUUUGCCAAGGAUGUUUUCAUUAAUCAAGAACGAAAGUUAGGGGAUCGAAGACGAUCAGAUACCGUCGUAGUCUUAACCAUAAACUAUGCCGACUAGGGAUCGGAUGAUGUUAAUUUUUUAAUGACUCAUUCGGCGCCUUACG